GACGAACGCCGGCGGCGUGCUUAACACAUGCAAGUCGAGCGGUAAGGCCCUUUCGGGGGUACGACGAGCGGCGAACGGGUGAGUAACACGUGGGUGACCUGCCCUCAGCUCUGGGAUAAGCCUGGGAAACCGGGUCUAAUACUGGAUAUGACUCCAUGACGCAUGUUGUGGGGUGGAAAGCCUUGUGCGGCUGAGGAUGGGCCCGCGGCCUAUCAGCUUGUUGGUGGGGUGAUGGCCUACCAAGGCGACGACGGGUAGCCGGCCUGAGAGGGCGACCGGCCACACUGGGACUGAGACACGGCCCAGACUCCUACGGGAGGCAGCAGUGGGGAAUCUUGCGCAAUGGGCGAAAGCCUGACGCAGCGACGCCGCGUGAGGGAUGACGGCCUGGUGUAAC
This 397-nucleotide ribosomal RNA is filed under the name uncultured bacterium. RNAcentral's name for it is "bacterial SSU rRNA". It matches the Rfam family "Bacterial small subunit ribosomal RNA", at positions 28 to 429 of the family's 1533-position model. The record is from RNAcentral.